This 85-nucleotide transfer RNA is filed under the name Felis catus (domestic cat). It matches the Rfam family "tRNA". From Rfam's summary of the family: Transfer RNA (tRNA) molecules are approximately 80 nucleotides in length. The record is from Rfam by way of RNAcentral. RNAcentral also lists the same sequence under 2 other names. Lineage: Eukaryota; Metazoa; Chordata; Mammalia; Carnivora; Felidae.
GCAUGGGUGGCUCAGUCGGUUAAGCAUCUGACUUUGACUCAGGUCAUGAUCUCACAGUUCAUGGGUUCAAGCCCCGUGUCAGGCU